This 1169-nucleotide ribosomal RNA is filed under the name Pectobacterium carotovorum subsp. carotovorum. RNAcentral describes it as "partial 16S ribosomal RNA". Lineage: Bacteria; Pseudomonadati; Pseudomonadota; Gammaproteobacteria; Enterobacterales; Pectobacteriaceae. The record is from RNAcentral.
UAGUCGGGCGCUGCUACCAUGCAGUCGAGCGGUAGCGGGAGUGCUUGGUCACGUUUGAGGAGAGCCGCCUGUAAGUGAGAAGUGUGGGGGAAAGCGCGAGAUGGGGGGAUAUAUCUUUUAAAAAGGGUAUAAAAUAGCGCAUAGUGUCAAGAGACAAAAGGGGGAGAUUUUGGGGUCUUGUGCCCUCAUAUGUCCCCAUAGGAUAUUAUCUAAUGGGGGGGAAAACCUCUCAUAUGCGACAAUAUCUAUAUGUGGUGAGAGAAGAUCACCCCCCCCUGUAAAUCAGACACGCUCCCCACACCUCCACGAGGGGCAACAGGGGAAAAUCUCUUAAAGUGCGCAAGCCUGAGCUGCCCAUACAGCGUGUGUGGGGAGCGCCUUCUGGUGGUAUAAAACUUUAUUUUGGGAGGAAAGGGUUGACAACGGCCUUGCAGCACUUGUUUCAGAUUCCCCAAAGGCACCACCCCCUCUCUGCAAAGUUCUCGGGAUGUCAAGAGAAGGUAAGGUUCUUCGCGUCGCAUCAAAUUAAACCACAUGCCCCACCGCUGGUGCGGGCCCCCGUCAAUUCAUAUGAGUUUUAACCUUGCGGCAGUACUCCCCAGGCGUUCGAAUUUAACGCGUUAUCUCCGGAAGCCACGCCUCAAGGGGCACAACCUCCAAGUCGACAUCGUUUACGGCGUGAACUACCAGGUUAUCUAAUCCUGUUUGCCUCCCACGCUUUCCCACCUGAAGCGUCAGUCUUUGUCAAGGGGGCCUACCUUCGCGAGCGGUAUUCCCUCCAGGAUCUCAUCCUCAUUUCAGCGGCUACACUUGGUAGUUCUCCCUCUCUCUAACAAGAACUCUACUCCUGCUAGUUUCUAUGGAGAUUCCAGGGUGAAGCCCGGAGUAAUCUCAUAUCUAGAUGGACCGACCGCCCGCGUGGGCGUUAUACGCGUUAAUAUCCGAUGAAACGUAGAACCUCAUCGAUACUCGCGCGUCGGACAGAUAUAACAGGUUUCUUGCUUGCGUGACAUCAUAGUGGGUGAUUAUGCUAACCCUCUCCCCUGAAAAAAUGUGUUAACCACAGGACGUUAUCUUACACCUUAUGUGAUGUCACACUGUUCGCAGUUACAUAUAAUCCUGCUGACUCAUAGAAGUGCGUAAUAAACUCAUCGUAGUGUAUCAAUUCA